Molecule: RNA transcript, 4528 nt
Organism: Oncorhynchus masou masou (cherry salmon)
Lineage: Eukaryota; Metazoa; Chordata; Actinopteri; Salmoniformes; Salmonidae
Gene name: 5'-AMP-activated protein kinase subunit gamma-1-like
Exons: 15
Source: RefSeq, a predicted model, not a curated record
GAUGUGGACACACCCCUUGUCUGUAAUGCGUCGGUAGGCUAUACUUCCUGGUAAAUUAACUAGUUUCUUCUAAAGAACGUUGACUUACAACUUCGUUUUCAGAUAAAGACGUAUGGUAUAAUAUCACGCAAUUUACUCAAACUCGUUAAAAACAAAGAAAACAGGGUAAUUCGUCUGAAAAUGGGAAGCACCGUGAUGGAGUCCAACAAGAAGGAUAUGAAAACCUCGAAGAAAAAGAGAACACUACGCCUAAAUAUGCCAGGAGAGGUCUGCAGCCACUCUGUCAACCCAACUAAAGGACUCUUUGUGAGGGGUGGUCCUGCCGGUGUCAGCCAACCCUCCAGUCCCAUGGCUGCCCCUGCCCAGUCCCGUAUCAGCCCUGGCUCAUCCAGAACCAUUUCCCCCUACCUCUCCACCCACCAGGUCCCCUCACCGCCCAAAUCCCCCCUUUGCCUCAGCUUCAGUGGUAUAUUCCGCUCUUCGCCCAACUCAUCAUCCAACUCUAGCAUCAAGCUCUUUUCUAGGACCAGGAAAGUCUCCGGCCUCUCGUCUUCCCCCACCCCACCCAGCACCCCCAGCCUGCGCAUGCUGUUCCCCCAGGAGGUUCACCAGAGUGCCCCAGAGCGCCUGGAACGCUCCCUCUCAUCACCCCCACCAGACACCGGACAGCGCCUCAGCCUGCCAUCCUCUGCCAAGACCCCCAUGUCCUCCUCCUCUCCGAUACCCUACGCUUUCCCACUGCCCCAAGCUACCUCACAGCCAAAUUUCUACGGUUUAUUCGAAGGCAUGCUGGAGAAACUUGACCUAAACGAUGAUGGUGUUGCUGCUGAACCAGACAGAGAUAUUUACAUGCGCUUCAUGAAGUCCCACUGCUGCUAUGACAUCGUUCCCACCAGCUCCAAGCUGGUCGUGUUCGACACUGGCCUACAGGUGAAGAAGGCGUUCUUUGCCUUAGUGGCCAAUGGGGUGCGUGCUGCCCCACUAUGGGAUUCAGAGAGGCAGUGUUUUGUGGGAAUGUUGACAAUCACAGACUUCAUCAUCAUACUACACAGAUACUACAAGUCACCGUUGGUGCAAAUAUAUGAGUUGGAAGAUCAUAAGCUUGAGACAUGGAGAGAAGUAUAUUUGCAAGAGACAUUCAAGCCUUUAGUGAACAUAUCGCCCGAAUCAAGCAUAUUUGAUGCAGUGUAUUCCCUCAUUAAAAACAAGAUCCACCGGCUGCCUGUCAUCGACCCUGUGACGGGGAACCCACUUUACAUCCUCACACACAAGAGGAUCCUCAAGUUCCUACAGCUCUUUGUGCGUGAGAUGCCCAAGCCGGCUUUUAUGAAGCAGACUCUAGGAGAGCUGGGCAUCGGCACCUACAAGAACAUAGCCUUCAUCCACCCUGACACACCCAUCAUCAAGGCCCUGCAGAUCUUCGUAGAGAGGAGGGUGUCUGCCCUGCCUGUUGUGGACGUAUCUGGGAAAGUGGUGGAUAUUUACUCCAAAUUUGAUGUCAUAAACCUGGCAGCAGAGAAGACUUAUAAUAACCUGGACAUCACAGUGACCCAGGCUCUGAGGCAUCGCUGCCAGUACUUUGAGGGGGUCAUGCAAUGCCACAAGCUGGAUACACUGGAGACCAUCGUGGACAAGAUUGUCAAAGCAGAGGUCCACCGGCUGGUAGUGGUGGAUGAUCGCUCGGCCAUCGAGGGCAUCAUCUCCCUGUCUGACAUCCUGCAGGCCCUGGUGCUCAGCCCAGCAGGUAUAGAUGCUCAGCAUUCCUAACCCCCUCCUAAUACGACUCUUGGACCCUGAGCUCCCUCCCCGCCCUGCCCUGCCCUGCCUCGCCCUCCUCACACAGGUAGGACACAAACACACUCAGGCAUUUGCUGGUUGGCUCCCACAUGCGGAUGGCAUGGGCUUGAUGCCAGGCUGCCUGUGCCCUUGAGCCAUCCUGUAUGCCAGCUCGUAACAGUUUGGUGUGGGCUUGGCUGUGUGUCUGUGUCCUGACUCAGGACCAUGUCCUUUCCUCUCGUGCUACCCUCAGAUUCUAAUAGAAUGUUAACGUCUUACUUGACAUUAUGCUUGGUAGCCUUUCUUUGUUGUCUUGGUAUUUUGUCUAUCUGCUUAUAGUUUUGAAUAAUGAAGAAGAAUGAUGUAACAUAAAGAAUGUAGAAUAAUGUAAGAUAAUGAGUUUGUAUGUUUGUUUUUUGGAAGGAAAUGCCUUUGCUGGUGCAGUCAUAAUGCAUUUAGAAAUUGCAUUUUGAAUUGGCUGGUGCAUCAGUUCCCAGAUUUGAAAACUGCAGUGAGCAGACUCAUCAACUCCGAUAUGCCUGCAGAGAGGAGGGCCUCCUGGAGUGAGACGGGGGUCUACUGCUGCUGGAAUCACAGAGGCUGUCCUACAAUAUCUAACUUGUAUUUUACAGGUAGCUGCCAAGAUAAAGGAAACACUUGAGUAAAUUAGGGAUACAAAGUCUGUUGAAAGCAGGUGCUUCUAAACAGGUGUGGUUCCUGAGUUAAUUAAGCAGUUGACAUCCCAUCAUGCUUAGGGUCAUGUAUAAAAAUGCACACUUGCCCAUUAUUUUCCGUGGCUAAAAUAAGAGAUCUCAGUGACUUUGAGAGAGUGGUCUCAAAGGAGCAUAGGGGGUUUAAAGUGGGUGUGUGUCUCCAGUGACCAGAUGUCAACCCAAUUGAACACUUAUGGGAGAUUCUGGAGUGGCGCCUGAGACAGUGCUUUCCACAACCAUUAACAACACACCAAAUGAUGGAAUUUCUCUUGUAAAAAUCCCUUCUAUAUAAUUCCAGACACUUGAAGCGUGCAUUGAAGCGCAUUGAAGCUAUUCUGGCAGCUCGUGGUGGCCCAAUGCCCUAUUAAUAUAUUGGUGUUUCCUUUAUUUUGACAGUUCCCUUUACGUCCAGAGCCCUUCAUAUUGAUGCACUAGACUUUGAAACCAAAGGGCUGGGCUGGAUUGGACUGCUACUGGGGGGUAAAUGGCUUUAAUACUGGAGGACCAGCAUCUCUCUGUCUGAACGGAACUGGACUUGAUUCACUGGCUGAGCCAGUCUGAACUGUGGUUAUGUAUGUAUAUGAGGGCUAUAUACGUUUUGGUGUUUGUCUCAGUAUCAUGCUGCUCUGUCGUGUUAACAGUGCCUAGUCACUGGAUAGUUUCAAACCUUCAAUGAACAAGUCGAUUGACAGAUAUUGCCAAGGCAUCUUACUUGAUACACACAAGCAUGUGUCUAAGUUCCUCACGGGAAAUAAUAACCUGUUUGUAUCGGUGGAGCUGGAAUAUACUGGACCACUAAAAGUGCUGGUUGAGUAAAUAACGCCAGUCUAUAUUCUAUGCUGUCAAACACAGACCAUUUAGACAAUAUAAUUGCAUUCUUCAUUUUAGUAUCAAAUGUGGCCAUAUUAUAGCAUGUUCUAUGAUAAUCCACAUGUUGCUAUAAUGAGUUAUUGUCCACACCCCUUUUAGGGGCUAUAUGCAGUCUCUCUGUCCAAUCCUUAGUCACAGUGCCUUUCGCUUGCCCUGCCCCUGACCACGGAAGCAAACGCCAUUCUCUAACCAUAAUACAUCAAAACGAAGUGUUCUUGAAGAACAAGCAAGAUCUUGUCAAAAAUGUGUUCUCAUUUAACCUGAAGGAGAAAUUGCAGGUGUUCAUGCUUUAUCUGAUUAUGAUUGGAGGGGUUUUGUUUGUAUAUGAGUAACAUGCUGUGAAGAGAGACAGAACAGGAAAAAGGCUUUAUUUUUUGGAUAUAUAUAUAUAUAUUUUGUAUUCAUUCUUGAUGACACUUGGGUUGAGAUUUAGAGCCAUUUAUUUUGUCCGCUUUAUGCACUUGAGCCAUGGAUCACCUCCAUCUAUAACAUCUAUAAAGCAAAAUGGUGGAUUCUGAACUGCUCUUGACCAGACUCCUGUGCUGUGGCCAGAGAAUACACCUCUGACAACUCAUCUCUAUUGUUUCACUGUAAAUAAGAAAGUUUUCAGGAAAUGUGCCAGAGAAAGCUUUAUUUUUAUGUAACUUUAAAGAAAUCAUGUUAAAAUAACUGCAGUUUUAAUAUUAUUUUUGUAAAUAUAUUGUGGCAAAAUGAGCCAAUAUAAAUAAAAAAUACUUUCUAUUCAGAACAAGAUGUACAUGUGCAAGCAUGAGAAACGACACUAUAACAGUUGUGAAUGUUCUUUACUUUUCUAUUUUUCUGCAUGCAGAAAAAUAAACGAUGACACUGAAUGUAUUUUUAUGUAAUGUGUUUAUUGAAUUGUAUUUUUGACUGUAGAUUUGCACCACCAUAUUUAACUGUUUUGCAAUCCAAAUUAAACCUGUUUGGGUAAAUCAAUUAGCUUAUUAUGAUAAUCCUGAAUGCGGCAGGUUGCCUAGUGGUUAGAGCGUUAGGCCAGGAACCGAAAGGUUGCUAGCUUGAAUCCCCAAGCUGACAAGGUAAAAAUCGGUUGUCCUGAACAAGGCAGUUAACCCACUGUUCCUAGGCCGUCAUUGUAAAUACGAAUUUGUUCUUAACUGACUUUCCCAGUUAAAUAAAUAAAAAUGUAA